AUGUUCUCCUUGUCCAUGUACCUCGCUUUUGUUUCAGUGACCCUUCGCCUCCCACACAUACACAAGUUUGAAUUUCCUGUUGGCUCUGAGAUAUAUUUCAAGCACUGUAUCUGUCACUGAAAUCUACAAAGUGUGCUUCAGCUAUAAAUCUCCAUCCUUGAAUGUACACAUACAAUUAUCGUGGUGAGAUCUGCCUUCCAUAAAAGUGACAAUUGUCAUUCCUGGUCUUGCUUUAGUUUGUAUAAAUAUAAUGUUUAUGUUGAAAAAAAUCACCUGUCAUUUAAUAGGAAACAUGGAAAUUUAUGCUACGAUUAUAUUAAAUGCUAUGCUUUUAAAUGUCUUUUUAUAGUCAUAGAGAAAUUAAUUUAACCUAAAUUGUAUCUCGACUAUUGUAUAAGUCCAAAGGUCUUAAUGACACAAGCUGCU
RNAcentral lists this long non-coding RNA (426 nucleotides) under Monodelphis domestica (gray short-tailed opossum). RNAcentral's name for it is "lncRNA (ENSMODG00000032686.2)". The record is from RNAcentral. Lineage: Eukaryota; Metazoa; Chordata; Mammalia; Didelphimorphia; Didelphidae.